UCCGGCUUACACCGGCGGUCUCCUGUGAGUCCCCAUCAUUAAUGCUGGUAACACAGAACGAGGGUUGCGCUCGUUGGCGGACUUAACCGUACACCUCACGGCACGAGCUGACGACAGCCAUGCAACAAGUGUCUUCAUGUCUCCUUGUGAGAGAGGGCCACCUUUCAAUGGCUUACAAUCGAUGUCAAACCUGGGUAAGGUUCUUCGGUUAGUAUCGAAUUAAUCCACAUGCUCCACCGCUUGUGCGGGUCCCCGUCAAUUCAUUUGAGUUUCAACCUUGCGGCCGUAGUCCCCAGGCGGGAUACUUAAUGCGUUAGCUGCGGCACAAGAGGGGUCGAUACCUCUUACGCCUAGUAUCCAUCGUUUAGGGCGUGGACUAC
RNAcentral lists this unclassified non-coding RNA (380 nucleotides) under uncultured Armatimonadota bacterium. Its description in RNAcentral is "uncultured Armatimonadetes bacterium contains 16S-23S intergenic spacer region". The record is from RNAcentral. Lineage: Bacteria; Bacillati; Armatimonadota.